RNAcentral lists this ribosomal RNA (430 nucleotides) under uncultured bacterium. RNAcentral describes it as "partial 16S ribosomal RNA". It matches the Rfam family "Bacterial small subunit ribosomal RNA", at positions 29 to 506 of the family's 1533-position model. The record is from RNAcentral.
AACGAACGCUGGCGGCAGGCUUAACACAUGCAAGUCGAACGCCCCGCAAGGGGAGUGGCAGACGGGUGAGUAACACGUGGGAACAUGCCCAAAGGUACGGAAUAUUCUCGGGAAACUGAGAGCAAUACCGUAUGUGCCCGAAAGGGGAAAGAUUUAUCGCCUUUGGAUUGGCCCGCGUCGGAUUAGCUAGUUGGUGGGGUAAAAGCCUACCAAGGCGACGAUCCGUAGCUGGUCUGAGAGGACGACCAGCCACACUGGGACUGAGACACGGCCCAGACUCCUACGGGAGGCAGCAGUGGGGAAUCUUGGACAAUGGGCGCAAGCCUGAUCCAGCCAUGCCGCGUGGAUGAUGAAGGCCCUAGGGUUGUAAAAUCCUUUCGUUGGGGACGAUAAUGACGGUACCCAAAGAAGAAGCUCCGGCUAACUUCGU